UACGUAGGGGGCAAGCGUUGUCCGGAAUUAUUGGGCGUAAAGAGCUCGUAGGCGGUCUGUUGCGUCGGCUGUGAAAACCCGGGGCUCAACCCCGGGCCUGCAGCCGAUACGGGCAGACUAGAGUUCGGUAGGGGAGUCUGGAAUUCCUGGUGUAGCGGUGAAAUGCGCAGAUAUCAGGAGGAACACCGGUGGCGAAGGCGGGACUCUGGGCCGAUACUGACGCUGAGGAGCGAAAGCGUGGGGAGCAAACAGG
Molecule: ribosomal RNA, 253 nt
Filed under: uncultured bacterium
Lineage: Bacteria
Description: partial 16S ribosomal RNA
Rfam family: Bacterial small subunit ribosomal RNA
Source: RNAcentral